GGGGUUGUAGCUCAGUGGUAGAGCACUUGCCUUGCAUGCAUGAGACACUGGGUUCAAUCCCCAGCACCACA
RNAcentral lists this transfer RNA (71 nucleotides) under Marmota monax (woodchuck). Its description in RNAcentral is "tRNA.Ala". It matches the Rfam family "tRNA". Rfam says of the family: Transfer RNA (tRNA) molecules are approximately 80 nucleotides in length. Their secondary structure includes four short double-helical elements and three loops (D, anti-codon, and T loops). The record is from RNAcentral. Lineage: Eukaryota; Metazoa; Chordata; Mammalia; Rodentia; Sciuridae.